Molecule: long non-coding RNA, 3664 nt
Organism: Lycium barbarum (goji berry)
Lineage: Eukaryota; Viridiplantae; Streptophyta; Magnoliopsida; Solanales; Solanaceae
Exons: 2
Source: RefSeq, a predicted model, not a curated record
GAACCAAACAACCCCUUUUCUCUCCUUACACCAACGGCCCUAACCAAACGCUCCUCUCUCUUCAACCUAACCAUCGCCGCCACCCCUUCCACCCCGUCACGUCCGUCACCUUACCACCACGACCUUCGGACCGCAAAACCAAACAUCCUCCUCUUUCUUAAAUCGAAAAAAAACAUUGAAAUCUGUUGGGUUGAAGCUUUCCUUGCCUCCACUGCUACCACGUCUCUUUUCCCUUUGAUUGACGUGGUGGCAGAGCCGAAAGGAGCCGAUAUAGGUCGUUUCAACCUCUGUAGAAGAGGAGUGCAACGAACCGCUAGUCUCAAGCUCGAACCCUCCUUCGAUUCGGUGGGUAAUGGGGGAAUCUACCAUAUAUUAGACCCCAACGACCUUUUCCCUUCCCAAUCAGUCUGAAAAGUUCUCGGCUGAGCAAGGACUGUUGGAGCGGAUUCGGAGAAUCGACGACGACAAUAGCUUCAGUUCGCUGUCACAAAGAAGGUAAUUGCAUUCGUCCUAUCUUCGUCUUUAAUUUAGUAGAAGUAGAAAUGUAGUCGUUCAAGUAUUUCUUGUCGUUUAUUUGGUUUAGUUGGCUGCUGGAAUAUGUGUUCUCCUCGUUUGUUGUAAAUUAGCGUGAAACGACUAAUUUCGUCGAAUAUGUGUUUAACUCCCGUCGCCCCGUCGCUGCCGUCAAAAGAUAAUAUUUGAACCCCAUUUUAUUCUUAUCAUUCAUUUUCGCAUUAGCACAUAAGUGUUUAUUCUGGUUUGUUUGAGAAGAUUUAUUUUAAAAUAUGUAGCCUAAUGUUGGCAGAAAAAUGGUUGCUCCCAUAUUUAUUAUGACCUAUUGUUGUUGUUUUCUCUGUUUGCUGCUGCCCUGCAAAAAAUUAGACUGUUACUUAUUGUGCCAUUCUCCUGUAAUGACUUGUGCUUAGCAUGCUAUCUUAAUAAGUUAAUAUGGUGAAUUAUUAUGAAGAAAGGAAUGGUCUUCUCCUGUGCUUAAGCAUUCCUUGGUCUGUCCACUAAAUGAACCCAUAAGUGAAAACAUGUUCUUCAAAAAAAAAAUUGAUUAAGUCCCCCUUAUUUUGGACAUACGACUUAGGGAGUAGGAGUCCAACAUUGUUAAGGAUGAAGGAAAAGGAUUUUAAUUUGAACUUUGUAUGAUCAUUUGGCCACUCGUUUUAGUUGCUUAAAUUUGCAUAAGUUGUCCUUGCUUGUCCUUUACUAUUUGAUUAAAUCAAACCAAGUUAAUGAGAGAGUUCUGGGAAUUGCUUAAACUAAUUUGAGUAUGGAGAAUCACUGGAUUUCUAGGGACUCUUGGUUGGUGUGAAACUAUUGAUAAAUUGUGGCCCUGCUGGUAGCAGCCACAAUCUGAGUGUUCAGUGAGGAUCAUGACCUUCCCUCUUUGUUGUGCCUCACCCAGCAUAAGCCUAUGAGUCUCCAUGAACCUGUGUCUUUAGAACAGCCUGACAUACUUGUUUAAACCAACUAAGUGCAGAGCCUUAGUCCCUUUUAUAAAUCUGAAAUAUGUUUACUCAGUGUCAGUCUAACUGUAUAGCAUGCUUAAUAGUUAAGGGAUGUGUGUUGAGACUCAGUUGUUGCAUAAGUUCUAUUCAAGAGUUCAGCAAAGAGGUGACACUAUUUUGUUACUAGUUUCCCCGGGAAAAAUAUACAAACAAAUGACAGUUUUUUUUUUAUUUAGAUUAAAAUUAGUUGUAUUUGAUUUUAAGAGUUCAUCCUUGCUUGUUUUAGGUUGUGGUGUGUUGCUUAAAUGACUGAGUGUCCUUCAAAAACUAUUAGCUUAUCCACACAUGUUGAGAAUAGAAUCUGUACCUUAUAAGGGUUAUUAAGCAUGUUCUGUUUUAAUUCAUGGGCUGCAUUUUGUUCUUACAAAGUUUUGAUUGGUGGUUGAAAUUUCGAGGCAAGCUUUGGGUUCGGUUUAGCCUCCUCCGAUAACCAGCCAUGCCUAAGGUUCUAGAAACCUUUUCAUCUUGUGCGACGUUGGAAUAGGAGUGGUGGUAGCCCCCUUCUGUUAUCUGAACCUUUUUGCAGCUUGACGUUUAGCUUGAUGAUCCUGAUAGUCUUUAAAUUUCUUUUUUUUGAGUGCUGCUGCUGAAUUAGGAGUAACAUUCGCACACUUGAGAGCAUCCUUCACUACUAGUUGUUACAUUCUGAAUUGUUGCUGUAUCUUGGGGCUAAAAAUGUCAUCUUUGAGUCAAUUUGCUGCUGCUUUUGGAUUGCAAUUGCUGCAUAUUGAGCAGAGUUUCUACUGCAUUUAGAGUCAUCUCUGUUGCACUUCUAAAAUUGAGAAGUGAUGCCUUUGCUAUUUGUUGCCUCCUGAAUUGCUCAAUUUGGCAAGUUUGCCAUAAUGGUUGAUGUUAUAUGUUGUCAUUUGGGCUGGAAAGAUUUGGUGUUUCCCUUGAGCUUUUGGGGUUUACUCUUACAAUGUUGAGUUUUUGUUCCCAGAGAGCAAAAGUUACAUUUCUAAGGGCAAAUAACUGUUGCCUUUUAAGGACAAUUGCCUGUUGUUUGCUGCUGCAAUUUAGGGUGAACUGAUGCUGAAUUGUUACAGCUCUUUUAAGCUAAUUGUUGUUGUGUCCUUGAGACAAAUAACUGCUGCAUCUUUACCCAUGUUGCUGCAUCCACCGAGCAGAAAAUGUAGUAAUAUUCUACCACAUAAUAGCCUAUGAGAAUAUUUCGAGCCCUCUAUGAUUCUGCUAUCUGUUUGGUAUGUUGCUGGGCAUGGACAAAUACUACACUUGGUAAGAUCUAACUGAUGUGAAUAUGGUACUACACUGGGCCGACGAAAAAGUAUUUAACUUGAGGCCACAUUUUUAAAAGAACAGAUUUCUAUACUUGAUGAAAAUUUACUGAUUUGAACAUGAUACUACGCUUGGGCUGAUGAAGAGUUGUUUAACUUGAGGCCUCACUUUUAAAAGAACGGAUUUCCAUACUUGAUUGAAAGUUUACUGAUUUGAACACUUAAAACUUUGCAUAAAAAGGGAGUGGGGUUGCUAUACUCAAGUUCGGGCGCAAUUAAUAUGCUAAAUUAUUUUUCCCUUAUUUUAGCCUAGAAAAAAUAUGCUAAGUAUCUCUGGAUAUAUGUUGUUUGGGAAUAAGCCAAUAUGAUGUUUUGAAGUCUGAGUAAGCUUUAGUUUAAUCAAAAGUUCUUGUUGUACAUUUAGCUUGAAGCGCUUGGUUGUUUGAGUAGCAAUUGGGACUACAAUGAUCUUCUUUUAAACUGAUCGUGGUGUUGCGUUUUGAGAAUAUGACACGAGAAAGCCUUGUCUUACAUUUGAUUCUUUUAUCUAGCUUUUAUUAAUUAAAGUUAUAUAGACUUCUUUUUCCUUGUUGAGAAUUGUUUCUAAUCCUUAUUUUUAUUUUUUUCUUUUUCAUGAGGAACCUUGGGAGCAUUUGGAGUUAUGGCAACUCCGGAUUCUGCCCAUAUCAGAGAACAGUCGGUUGCAAGAUUUAAUUGCUCGUGUCUAGCGUCCCCGUCUUCCUUCCUCUCUUUAAAUUCCAUGCCUUUCGCGUUAUCAUGCAUAUACAUGUUUAUAUUCUUGACUAACAUUUUUUAUGGAUUGUAUUUGUAGCACAUUUGUUUCUCGCUGGUGUAGGAACUUAUGGAAAAAAUAGUUAAGUAUGAUGGUAAAUUUAGUCACUACUUUUCCUC